UACGGAGGGUGCAAGCGCUAGUCGGAAUUAUUGGGCGUAAAGGGUGCGUAGGCGGGAAUAUAAGUCAAAUGUGAAAUUCCGGGGCUCAACUUCGGGGCUGCAUUUGAAACUAUGUUUCUUGAGAGAUAACGGAGAAAACGGAAUUCCAUGUGUAGCGGUGAAAUGCGUAGAUAUAUGGAAGAACACCUGUGGCGAAAGCGGUUUUCUAGUUUGAUCUGACGCUGAGGCACGAAAGCAAGGGGAGCAAACAGG
This 252-nucleotide ribosomal RNA is filed under the name uncultured bacterium. RNAcentral's name for it is "partial 16S ribosomal RNA". It matches the Rfam family "Bacterial small subunit ribosomal RNA", at positions 524 to 776 of the family's 1533-position model. The record is from RNAcentral.